UACGUAGGGGGCAAGCGUUGUCCGGAUUUAUUGGGCGUAAAGAGCGUGUAGGCGGUUUGGUAGGUCCGUUGUGAAAACUCGAGGCUCAACCUCGAGACGCCGAUGGAAACCAUCAGACUAGAGUCCGGAAGAGGAUGGUGGAACUCUCGGUGUAGAGGUGAAAUUCGUAGAUAUCGAGAAGAACACCGGUGGCGAAGGCGGCCAUCUGGACGGUGACUGACGCUGAGACGCGAAAGCGUGGGGAGCAAACAGG
RNAcentral lists this ribosomal RNA (253 nucleotides) under uncultured bacterium. Its description in RNAcentral is "partial 16S ribosomal RNA". It matches the Rfam family "Bacterial small subunit ribosomal RNA", at positions 524 to 776 of the family's 1533-position model. The record is from RNAcentral.